Molecule: long non-coding RNA, 2153 nt
Organism: Mercenaria mercenaria
Lineage: Eukaryota; Metazoa; Mollusca; Bivalvia; Venerida; Veneridae
Exons: 3
Source: RefSeq, a predicted model, not a curated record
CGAAGUACGGGUCAUAUCGGAGUACUGAUCAUAUCGGAGAACGGGUCAUAUUGGGGUACUGGUCAUAUCGGAGAAUGGGUCAUAUUGGGGUACUGGUCAUAUUGGAGUACGGGCAUAUCGGAGUACUGAUCAUAUCUUAGUAUUGCUCAGUUCGGCAUACUGCUCAUAUCGGCAGACAUAAUAAUGUCAUUUUGCGGAUGCUACUCAAUCAUAAUAGAUGUAUUUCACUUUUUGUCAUCAUGUGAUUCUUAUAAAUUGACUUUCAAUUACUAGAAUAAAGCUUGUAUGGUAACAACAUUUUCCUGUCUGAUAAUAUUGACCAAACUGAUGCUAGUUAAUGGCCACAUGUUUUCGAGAUUUCACAUUUGGUCGUAGGGAUUUUUUUUCAAGGUCAGUGAAUUGUAAAGGAAAUUUUAAUAAUGGUCAGUGAAAAAUGAAAUUUUAGAAAAGUCAGGGAAAAAUAUAAUUCUGGGUCAAUGCUUAAAAAGUUCAGUGGCUAUGACAGUCUUCAAGCAAUUUUUAUAAGUAUUUCCAAACAUAAUUAUUGUGUUGUAAUUGUGUAUACAUGUAUACAUUAUUUAAAUGAGUCUGAAUCAAUUUUGUGUUUUUUGUCAACUUUGGAAUUUUGAAGGCUGAAAUGCUUUGCAACCCUUGCCUCCAGAGCAGGCUAAUCCUUUACAUAUGAAAGGUUGGAUUGGAUGGCAGUUGGGGAGGAGGAGGCCGAUAAGAGAUGUUGGUAUUGGUCAGUGAAAAGUAUUGUAUAAUCAGGGAAAAGUUAAGGAAAGUCAGGGAAUUUCAUUUCUCAACUAAGUGGCAACCCUGUCAGUCUCCUGCUGUUUCCUUUAGUUAGCGGAGUAAUUUAGUAUAAAUAAAACAAAAGUCAAAGUCUUGAAAUAAAAUGUCCUGGAAACUGAAAUGUUAUACAACAGGAAUCUUAUUUAAUUCAACGUCCGAUACAGUGGAUUAUAAGUUCUAAUCAGUAAAUAUUUUCACUUUAGUGUUUCAUAUUUACAAUCGUAUUUGUUUCUAAUAUGAGAUGCAUUUUGUAUUUCCAAGUAAGUAUGUCUGCUUUAAAACACUCUGGUGUCAACUGUCGUACCCUGUACUGUGAACUCUUACAGACCCAGUCAGCUAGUAUCACAAGUAUCCUGGUCAUGGUCAACAUCAUGAUAACAGUGUCUCUAUCCACUACUGAAUGUUAACGACAAUUUUCUGCAAUGAAGCUCAUCAAGUCAGGCAGAUGCUCACAUAUGAACGGAGACACCCUUGAGGCUCUGAUGAGAGUUCACGCCAAUGGUCCGCCUGCAGCCCUGUUUGAUUUCCAGCCUGUCAUCCACCAUCGGAUAACCAGUGGCCCUGGUACUCGUCACCUCAAUGGCCACGAGCUACCACAGAAACCCAGAGUUGUUCCGUCUGACCGACAAUGAACAUGAUGACCUUGAUGAUUCCCGGGACCAGUAGUGCUGUACCAACUGCACAUGCAGUACAUAAGGACAAUGUUUUGAAUCUACUGUGCAGUUUGUGAACAUUUAACUAGUGAUAGAGUGUACAUGUCAAGUAGAUCUUCAUAUUGACAACAAUUUUAAGUACAUCUCCAAUUAAGGCUAGGCCUCGUUUAGGAGGAAGAACUUUGUAUUGACAGUGACUUGCAAGUUAAAUAUAAACUUUCUUUUUAUCCGAUGUUGCGACUAUUGUAUUACUUGACAGAGACUUGUAGUUUGUAUACUUAGAUAUUUAAGUGAAGUGUUUCUUCUAUCUGAUGUUGCAUUAUCUUCUACUUGUUCUUUCUAUUACGAAUAAAGAGAAUGAACUAUUGACCAUUUAAGCUCACCUGGUCCUGUGUUCACAAAACAUUUUUCGGUCUCAGCUGUGUUUCAGUUUGAAAUUUAUUUCCUAAUUAAACUGCAUGACCAAGAUCAAAUGCAUAGAGCAUCAUGUGGAUUUAAGAAAAUGGAAAUAAACAUUCAUGUUAUAAAAGUGGUAAUACGACAAAAUCUUCAGUUUUAAUAGAAAAUCAUUUUUAGCCAAAAUCUGGAGUCCAGUCCCUUUGAAAUAGCGAUUUGGUUUUAACAGUGUUUCAGGCUCAUUUAUUGAAAAAGUAUUAAAGGCACUAACCUACAUAUCUAACCAUCUAUGAUCUAACGUGUCACACA